GUGGGGAAUUUUGGACAAUGGGCGCAAGCCUGAUCCAGCAAUGCCGCGUGCAGGAAGAAGGCCUUCGGGUUGUAAACUGCUUUUGUACGGAACGAAAAGGCUCUGGUUAAUACCUGGGGCUCAUGACGGUACCGUAAGAAUAAGCACCGGCUAACUACGUGCCAGCAGCCGCGGUAAUACGUAGGGUGCAAGCGUUAAUCGGAAUUACUGGGCGUAAAGCGUGCGCAGGCGGUUUUGUAAGACAGACGGGAAAUCCCCGGGCUCAACCUGGGAAUGGCGUUUGUGACUGCAAAGCUGGAGUGCGGCAGAGGGGGAUGGAAUUCCGCGUGUAGCAGUGAAAUGCGUAGAUAUGCGGAGGAACACCGAUGGCGAAGGCAAUCCCCUGGGCCUGCACUGACGCUCAUGCACGAAAGCGUGGGGAGCAAACAGGAUUAGAAACCCCAGUAGUCC
Molecule: ribosomal RNA, 450 nt
Filed under: uncultured bacterium
Lineage: Bacteria
Description: partial 16S ribosomal RNA
Rfam family: Bacterial small subunit ribosomal RNA
Source: RNAcentral